CCUACGGGGGGCAGCAGUGAGGGAUAUUGGUCAAUGGGGGAAACCCUGAACCAGCAACGCCGCGUGAGGGAAGACGGUUUUCGGAUUGUAAACCUCUGUCCUCUGUGAAGAUACUGACGGUAGCAGAGGAGGAAGAUCCGGCUAACUACGUGCCAGCAGCCGCGGCAAUACGUAGGGUGCGAGCGUUAAUCGGAAUUACUGGGCGUAAAGAGCCCGUAGGCGGUAGGGCAAGUCAAGGGUGAAAUCCCCGCGCUCAACGUGGGAACUGCCUUUGAAACUGGCGAACUGGAGGGUGUGAGAGGAAAGUGGAAUUCCAGGGGUAGGAGUGAAAUCCGUAGAUAUCUGGAGGAACAUCAGUGGCGAAGGCGACUAUCUGGCACAUAACUGACGCUGAGGAGCGAAAGCGUGGGUAGCAAACAGGAUUAGAUACCCGAGUAGUC
RNAcentral lists this ribosomal RNA (440 nucleotides) under uncultured bacterium. Its description in RNAcentral is "partial 16S ribosomal RNA". It matches the Rfam family "Bacterial small subunit ribosomal RNA", at positions 338 to 795 of the family's 1533-position model. The record is from RNAcentral.